Molecule: unclassified non-coding RNA, 475 nt
Filed under: Hevea brasiliensis (rubber tree)
Lineage: Eukaryota; Viridiplantae; Streptophyta; Magnoliopsida; Malpighiales; Euphorbiaceae
Source: RNAcentral
AUUACCGAUCUCUCUUCAAAGAGACCAAACCAACACCAAGUCUCCAGGUCGCUUAAUUCAUUACCGAUCUCUCAAACCAAUUAUCGAGUCACCUCGCCAGCCGAUCACAUUUCCGACCUCCAUUUUAUAAAUAUGGUGGAUAAUCGUUAAAUGAAAUUAAGGUUUCAAUUCGGUCCAAUCUUCGUUGUGGAUAAUUGUUUAAUAAAAUUAAGGUUUUAAUCCAGCUUGAUGUUGCUUCCGAUCUUAAGUGUCCAAAUCAGGUUUCCAAUUUCAAUAAUAUUAAGUCCCGUGCGGUGUUUGUUCUCAGCCGAUCUCACGCUUACAAUGUUUUUCCGACCUCUUAUGCUUAGAUUAAUAAUCACUUUUAAGUUUAAUAUUCUAAUUGGUUCAGACAGUCAGGCGCUUGUACAAGUUAGAUACUUUCCGAUCUCAUCAAACAAAAAGAGAAUUGCAUUUCAUUUCAAAGUAAAAAAAU